Molecule: ribosomal RNA, 630 nt
Filed under: Triticum aestivum (bread wheat)
Lineage: Eukaryota; Viridiplantae; Streptophyta; Magnoliopsida; Poales; Poaceae
Description: partial small subunit ribosomal RNA
Source: RNAcentral
AUGGCGGCGGCGGCGGCGUCUCUGGUGAUCCGUCUCUCGGCGCUCGCCGUCGUGCUCGUCGUCCUCUGCCCGACGGCGUCCGCGGUGCCGCUGGGGAAGCGGUACAGGGUCGGCGGCCCUGAAGGGUGGCGCGUGCCCCCGCCGCAGGACAAGGAGAUGUUCUACGUCAAGUGGGCGGCCCCCAUAACCUUCUUCGUCGAGGACUCUAUCGAGUUCGUGUACAAGAACGACUCGGUGAUCAAGGUGAGCAAGGCCGGAUACUAUCACUGCAACGAGACGGCGGGCAUCGGCACCGGCGCCGUGCCGAGGGACGGCAGCACGCUCUUCCUCCUCGACGCGCCAGGCUUCGCCUACUUCGCCAGCGCCGACCUCGGACACUGCAACGCCGGCGAGAGGCUGGUAAUUAACGUCCGCGCUGCCUCCCCGCCGGCGCCGGCAUCAGCAUCAUCGCCGGCACAGGCCCCCACGGCACCGUCGUCUUCACGACCGCCGUCGUCAUCGCCGUUCUCUCCGGCGCCAGGUCCGGCCCCGUCGAUGGAGUAUUCAUCCGCCGCGGGUGGGCCAUUCGUGGCGUCCCUCGCUCGCGCCAUGGCACAAGCUGUGACAUUGGUCCUGGCCUGCUUUAUCUGA